Molecule: long non-coding RNA, 253 nt
Filed under: Lathyrus oleraceus (garden pea)
Lineage: Eukaryota; Viridiplantae; Streptophyta; Magnoliopsida; Fabales; Fabaceae
Description: Pisum sativum (pea) long non-coding RNA (PSAT_LNC028694)
Source: RNAcentral
AAACCCUAAGUACUAAGGUUAAUGGCACAAUUAUGAAUCAAGAUCUAGUUAAAACUAAACAAACCUAAUUAUCUAACUAUCAGUAUUACUAAUCAUCUAAUUAAUUUUAAAAAUCUAAUUAUCAUUAAUCUAAUUAGAAUUCUAAAAAUCUAAUCAAAUUCUAAAAAAAACAAAUAAUCUAAUUAAAUUCUAAAAUUCUAAUCAAUUCUAAAAAUUCUAAAUCAACCUCUAAUCUAAUCAAGUUCUAAAAAAC